RNAcentral lists this ribosomal RNA (353 nucleotides) under Escherichia coli. Its description in RNAcentral is "partial 23S ribosomal RNA". It matches the Rfam family "Bacterial large subunit ribosomal RNA", at positions 918 to 1268 of the family's 2925-position model. The record is from RNAcentral. Lineage: Bacteria; Pseudomonadati; Pseudomonadota; Gammaproteobacteria; Enterobacterales; Enterobacteriaceae.
GCAAGGGGGUCAUCCCGACUUACCAACCCGAUGCAAACUGCGAAUACCGGAGAAUGUUAUCACGGGAGACACACGGCGGGUGCUAACGUCCGUCGUGAAGAGGGAAACAACCCAGACCGCCAGCUAAGGUCCCAAAGUCAUGGUUAAGUGGGAAACGAUGUGGGAAGGCCCAGACAGCCAGGAUGUUGGCUUAGAAGCAGCCAUCAUUUAAAGAAAGCGUAAUAGCUCACUGGUCGAGUCGGCCUGCGCGGAAGAUGUAACGGGGCUAAACCAUGCACCGAAGCUGCGGCAGCGACACUAUGUGUUGUUGGGUAGGGGAGCGUUCUGUAAGCCUGUGAAGGUGUGCUGUGAGG